UACGGGGGGGGCAAGCGUUGUUCGGAAUUACUGGGCGUAAAGGGCUCGUAGGCGGCCAACUAAGUCAGACGUGAAAUCCCUCGGCUUAACCGGGGAACUGCGUCUGAUACUGGAUGGCUUGAAUCCGGGAGAGGGAUGCGGAAUUCCAGGUGUAGCGGUGAAAUGCGUAGAUAUCUGGAGGAAUACCGGUGGCGAAGGCGGCAUCCUGGACCGAGAUUGACACUGAGGAGCGAAAGCCAGGGGAGCAAACGGG
This 253-nucleotide ribosomal RNA is filed under the name uncultured bacterium. RNAcentral's name for it is "partial 16S ribosomal RNA". It matches the Rfam family "Bacterial small subunit ribosomal RNA", at positions 524 to 776 of the family's 1533-position model. The record is from RNAcentral.